UCCUGCUAUUCUCGAAUCACACAUUAAUAACGAUCGUCCGAUACUUUAUUCAGCACUCCGAUAUUACAGAUAAUAUAUCUCACACGGGUAAAACGUAAACCGCGCGCGAGAAUUUCACUUGGCGCGACCGUUACGUUUGGAAAAAUACGUUAAAAGUACGGCACGUCAAGAUACACUGAACAGUAUCAAUUAGCUCCCAGAGUUUUGUAUCUUUGUAUGAUUGCGCGACGACUAGUUUCAUUAUUGGCACGAUCGACAUUCUACCGAACGGAUUGCGUAUCCCCUCGAGCGAAUACACGCACACGAAAACUUUGCUCGGAACGAAAAUCAACAUGGCGCGAAAGUGCCGUGACGUCACGUAACUUCGUAGAAACGCAGGUCGGGAAAACCGUUUAAAUAAAAAUUACGCGCCGAGACAACGUUUGCUAGCACGACGGUACUCUCAAUACAACACCGUACCUGCACAACACCGGACAAUUCAGUUCUGAACACGCGAGACACGCAGAGAUACGCACGGAGUCGACAGAGCGUCCGACCAACGCUGGAGUGGCGUACGUACUGGAGCGCGGAGCAACGAGGCAACAUGGCGGCAGCGACGCAGGCGCGGCGAGUCAACCGCCUAGCGACGCCGAGUGGCGCCGACUAACGCCGAGUACCGCCGAUUCUGCCUGUCUGCCUGCCAGCGGUCACGUACGCCGUUACCUCGCGUUCCAGCGCCGCUCAAACGUUCUGGUGACUCCGUGCAUGUCUCGCGUGUUUAGAUUCGAAUUGUGCACAAGUACAGUGUUGUGUUGAGUGCUAGCAAACGAUACUCCGUUCGUUGUAUCUCGGCGCGUAUAAAUUGGUAUUAGAGGAUGUAAUAAUUGAAAAACUAUCUCCAAUUUGCAAGGAUAUAUUAAGAUUAACUGGAGAACUUGGACGAGAUUUUGAAAAAAGGUGCUUAAAAAAGCUCGUAACAAACUGUUGGACAAAAAUUGAAAAAAGUUUUACGUAACAAUAAUAUGCAGAAUGUGAAAAACAUAAUAUUGCAGAAAUUAUGUAGAACAAUCAUUAUUAAUAAAUUAUUUGUAAAAAUA
This is a long non-coding RNA of Monomorium pharaonis (pharaoh ant), 1076 nucleotides long. RefSeq lists it as uncharacterized. The record is from RefSeq and is a predicted model, not a curated record. Lineage: Eukaryota; Metazoa; Arthropoda; Insecta; Hymenoptera; Formicidae. The transcript has 2 exons.